GCUCACACCGGUCUAAACUCAGAUCAUGUAAAAUUUUAAAGGUCGAACAGACCUAAUUUGUUAGCUUCUGCACCAACAAUUUAUUUUAAUCCAACAUCGAGGUCGCAAUCUUUUUAUUCGAUAAGAACUCUAAAAAAAAUUACGCUGUUAUCCCUAAGGUAAUUUAUUUUUAUAAUCUUAAUAUAAGGAUCAAAUAUUCAUAAAUUAAUGGCUUCAAAAUAUAAAAAGUUUGCUUAAUUUU
RNAcentral lists this ribosomal RNA (241 nucleotides) under Trigonopterus sp. 621 MB-2015. RNAcentral's name for it is "partial 16S ribosomal RNA". The record is from RNAcentral. Lineage: Eukaryota; Metazoa; Arthropoda; Insecta; Coleoptera; Curculionidae.